RNAcentral lists this transfer RNA (71 nucleotides) under Candidatus Nealsonbacteria bacterium CG_4_8_14_3_um_filter_39_7. RNAcentral's name for it is "tRNA-Ala". It matches the Rfam family "tRNA". From Rfam's summary of the family: Transfer RNA (tRNA) molecules are approximately 80 nucleotides in length. Their secondary structure includes four short double-helical elements and three loops (D, anti-codon, and T loops). RNAcentral also lists the same sequence under 1 other name. Lineage: Bacteria; Candidatus Nealsoniibacteriota. The record is from RNAcentral.
GGGCUUGUAGUACAGUGGCAGUACGCCGCAUUCGCAUUGCGGAGACGCGAGUUCGAUUCUCGCUAAGUCCA